RNAcentral lists this ribosomal RNA (389 nucleotides) under uncultured bacterium. RNAcentral's name for it is "bacterial SSU rRNA". It matches the Rfam family "Bacterial small subunit ribosomal RNA", at positions 32 to 414 of the family's 1533-position model. The record is from RNAcentral.
AAUCAACGCUGGCGGCGUGCCUCAGACAUGCAAGUCGAACGAUUAAAGCUCUCUUCGGAGAGUGCAUAAAGUGGCGCACGGGUGAGUAACACGUAAGUAAUCUACCUUCGAGUGGGGAAUAACGUCCGGAAACGGACGCUAAUACCGCAUAACGCAGCGGCAUCGCAAGAUGACAGUUGUUAAAGAUUUAUCGCUUGAAGAGGAGCUUGCGGCAGAUAGCUUGUUGGUAAGGUAACGGCUUACCAAGGCUACGAUCUGUAUCCGGUCUAAGAGGACGGUCGGACACACUGACACUGAAUAACGGGUCAGACUCCUACGGGAGGCAGCAGUCGGGAAUUUUGGGCAAUGGGGGAAACCCUGACCCAGCAACGCCGCGUGAAGGAUGAAGU